Long non-coding RNA from Urocitellus parryii (Arctic ground squirrel), 1097 nucleotides. RefSeq lists it as uncharacterized. The record is from RefSeq and is a predicted model, not a curated record. Lineage: Eukaryota; Metazoa; Chordata; Mammalia; Rodentia; Sciuridae.
CAAGAAGUCCCACCCUUCCAACAGCCUCCAGGCAACUGGAAUUCUUCCCUGGACAGACCACAUGUCACCACUGCCUUCCCAGGGCCAGCUCCCCUAGUCAGCUCUGCUUGGGGUCUCUGCAGUGGCAACCAGGUGACAGCUGGAUCUGGAGUCUUCUGAAGGUUAAACCAGGGUGGGCCAUCCUCAGGUAGGUGGCAUGURGCCUUCCCGGUGGCUAGUUGGGGCUUCCCCACUGCAUGGAUUCUCCAUGGUAUCUUGCUCCCCCUGGCAUGUGUGUGUCAGGCCAGGCAGAACUGUUAGACUUCUAUGACUCGGUGUCCAGUGUCAUGUAGAAUCAUUCUCACUGUGUCCUAUAGGUCAGAAAGAACAUUCUGGGCCACCACCUUUCCAAAGAAAGGAAAUGUCACAAAGUGGGACCCGUGAUCAUCCUCUGUGACUGUAGGGGACUGUGUUUUCCAGCUUUGGCCUGGCCAGCCUAGUGUCCUGAAGGGCAGAGAGACCACACACCAGUGAGCCCCUCCCAGAAGCUGGCCCACCACAGCUGGGCAGGCCCAAGCAGGAUUGGAGCAACCACAGGCAGGAAGUGCCUGUGCUAGAGUGAGACUCCCCAGCCCUGCAGUGGCCAUUGGCUGUGGCAUGCUGAAUUCCGACUCCUCUCCCAGAAACRACAGCAUGUGGCCUUUUCAGGGCAGGCAGAACGUUUUCCAGGGGCUGCUUUGGCUCUCAAGUCAUUCUGGGCCUCCUGUGGACUGGAUAUCUGUCUGGAAAAUGUCCUGCCUGCACUGAAAAGGCCACGUGCUGUCUGUGGGCACCUUGCUGUGUCUGCUUGACUGUCGUCUCUGGGAGAGGAGUUGGAGAGGCACCCUGGAGAGGCACAGCUCUGUCAAGGUCUGGACUCUGCCUGCUGCUGUUCCCGUUCAGACAGGAACAGAGCUUCAAGAGGCUGAGUGCCUGGGCGGUGGGGGCAUCGUUGUCACUCCUGUGGCUUUGGUCACCAAGUGAACAAAAACCCCUCUGGGAGCCGGGCACCAUGGCCCACGCCUGAGGCAGGAGGACUGCAGGUUGGAGGCCAGUCUUAGCAACUUAGCAAGACCCUA